RNAcentral lists this ribosomal RNA (354 nucleotides) under uncultured bacterium. Its description in RNAcentral is "bacterial SSU rRNA". It matches the Rfam family "Bacterial small subunit ribosomal RNA", at positions 917 to 1275 of the family's 1533-position model. The record is from RNAcentral.
GGGCCCGCACAAGCGGUGGAGCAUGUGGCUUAAUUCGAGGCAACGCGAAGAACCUUACCUGGUCUUGACAUGCCCGUCAUAGUUUUCCGAAAGGAAUUCGUCGGUUCGGCCGGACGGUGCACAGGUGCUGCAUGGCUGUCGUCAGCUCGUGUCGUGAGAUGUUCGUUAAGUCCGGCAACGAGCGCAACCCUCGUUCCUAGUUGCCAGCGGGUAAUGCCGGGGACUCUAGGAAGACAAACCUCGUGUAGAGGUGGGAAGGUGGGGACGACGUCAAGUCAGUAUGGCCCUUACGACCAGGGCUGCACACGUGCUACAAUGCCCGGUACAAUGGGUUAAUCCCAAAAAGGCUAUCUC